Molecule: ribosomal RNA, 274 nt
Filed under: uncultured bacterium
Lineage: Bacteria
Description: partial 16S ribosomal RNA
Rfam family: Bacterial small subunit ribosomal RNA
Source: RNAcentral
AUACGGAGGGGGCUAGCGUUGUUCGGAAUUACUGGGCGUAAAGCGCGCGUAGGCGGACCGUUAAGUCGGGGGUGAAAUCCCGGGGCUCAACCCCGGAACUGCCUCCGAUACUGACGGUCUUGAGGUCGAGAGAGGUGAGUGGAAUUCCGAGUGUAGAGGUGAAAUUCGUAGAUAUUCGGAGGAACACCAGUGGCGAAGGCGGCUCACUGGCUCGAUUCUGACGCUGAGGUGCGAAAGCGUGGGGAGCAAACAGGAUUAGAUACCCCAGUAGUCC